Mauremys reevesii (Reeves's turtle) is the source of this 227-nucleotide long non-coding RNA. RefSeq lists it as uncharacterized. The record is from RefSeq and is a predicted model, not a curated record. The transcript is spliced from 3 exons. NCBI's taxonomy places the organism in Eukaryota, Metazoa, Chordata, Testudines, Geoemydidae.
GGCGGAGUGUAUAUAACCGAGAUGGAAAGAGAUACGGAUUUAGGAAGAAGUGGCAGAGCGUAGAGGAUGUUGGGGGAAUUCACCGGGGGACACUUACAGGCAUAAGGGAGUCUGAGGCAAUGAUGAAUCCUGCCCAUGGUCUCAUAAGCCUUAUAAAAUAGCUCCCCUCAGUAGGUGCAUCAAUCCACUUGACUGCGUGUUUCCUUGUACCUGCAGCUGAAACAGGU